UGAUUAUGGAAUUUCCAGACUGAUCCCAAACUGUGUAGUUGAUGUAUGUAAAGUGAGUAGAGUGACUGUCUUGUGACUGCUGAUUAAGAUAUUUGCUGCAUGAUCAGAUGUUUACAUCUGACUUACUAGGAUGAAUUGUUGAGGAGGUGUAUCUUCCUGAUCAGAUGGCCACAGCUAACUUAUUUGGUGGUUUAUCUAUUAUGCUGCUCUAGAUUAUCAGGCGUUAAAUCUUGUUCUAAUCUUUUGUCUACACGUAAUCUCCCACAAACAAAACUUGAUAACAUGAGAAUGGCCAAGGUCUACAUUUGUUCAGCACCCAUCACUCAGGAUGUCGUUCCUGAUGUAUUACAGGGAGAAAUGACCAGCGUUUCUCAGUCAUCCAGAGUCGUCCAAAGCCCAGCAGUUGUUGGCAUUAUGCCUUAAACAAGGGGGAGAGGUCGAACCUCUUAAACAGAAACAAAACAUGGAGUUGCAGCCCCUAUAGUAUCUGCUCUAAGCAAUUCCCUGUUUCCAUAAUUCCUAAUCUGACAUAUCAGAUUGUGGAAAGGUGAAUCCUGUCCUGCUCCUUGGAUUAGAUCCAGUGCUGCCUUCGAAUCCGUUUCCAGGAUCACUCUCCUUUCUCCUGAGCUCCACGCCAUUUCCAUCCCUUUUGAGUACUCCCCAUCGCUCUACUGUCGUAUUGUCUGUUAGCCCAAUAUUCACUGCGAAGCCAGCUUUCCAUCUUUCCCAGCAUUAUGCCUUUCGUUGGCAUAGUCUCUAACCAAAUUCUCAUAUUCAUCUCCUAUUUUCCCAGCAUUAUUGCGCUGAACUGAAUUCCCCAUGAGAAAGAAGUACCAGAUGAUUUCCGAUAAGUUCUCAAGUGUAUUUUGCAAAUGAGCUUCUUUAUCAAGACGCAAACAGCCUUGGUUGCCUGCCUAAACCGCCUCGCUGGAACGAGAUCAAUACAUUUUUUUUCGGAUCACUGCAUACCUUGACUAAGGCUAAUCACUAGUUGUAACUGCAUAAUCAUGAGUGUCGUGAAGAGGUUCGGCUUAAAGCAGCAAAAGAAGUGGGCCACAAUGAAAUGUUAAUUGGGUACUGCGCAGCAUUAAAAAUAUGAAAAAUCGUUCACCAUGUCAUUCACUCUUGAAAUGUUAAUCUUGUCAUUCACUCUUGAAAUGUUAAUCUUACGUCUCUUGUAGACUUAAAUUUGCAAAAUUUGGUCUCAACGUAAGUUGUAAACUAAUUUUUAAUAGAGUUAUUAUCACUUUACCCUCUUAAACUAUAUCACUACUAUCAGUUUACCCUAUAACGUUAUCUUUUAAUCAUUUUAUCCCCAUAAGUAAUUCAACUCAACGUGUUAAGAAAUUUUGGACAAAAAUACCCUUUUAUUUUAUGUUAUUACUACAUUAUUAUUAUCCCUUUCUUCGUUUGGAUUAUAGUGAUACAAUCGCUUUACUUCAUAACAUUAUUUUCUAGACAUUUUACCUUAUUAUUAAUCUAACUAGUAUGGUCAAAAAAUUUUAAAUAUAUUUACCCUUUUUUAUAUAUAAUUAAAAAUAAAAAAGAUUGGAAUGGUUAUUCUUCUUUUUUUCACUUUAAGAGAUCGAAAAAAUCUUUUUUUCAUACUUAUUACUACUAGGAAAAGAAAAAGAGAUAGGAAAGAAGGAGACAAAAAAUUAGAUUUUGCAAAAAAAAAGAAAAUAAAGAAAAGUCUAACAUUAUCGUAUUACUUUAAGGUUAUCGGGAUUAGAAUUGAAAUUUGGUGGUAAACAAAAAAGUGAAAUAAUUUUAAAAUAAUAAAAGUAUUUAAUUCUUUCUUAUUUGUAAUUUUUUUAAAAAAAAUUGAGCUCUCUCUCUCCCCCUCCCCCUCUCCAUAUUUCUAUUUUUUUCAAUAUUAAUAAGAUUGCCAAGAAAAAAAAUUAAUAUUUUGACUUUUUUUCUUGAUACUAAAAAGAAGAAGAGUCACUCUAAAUUUUUUAUUAUUUUGAUUAUGCAAAGAGGGGGGUAUUUUCUUCUAAAGUUUUUAACUUGCUAAGUUGGUUUAAUGGUGGGAUAAAUUGUCUAAAAAAUAAUUUUAGGUGGUAAAUUGAUAAUGAGACUAUAUUUUAUGGGGGUAAAGUGAUAAUAAUUUUAAGGGUUAAACAUGUUUUUUCACUUUAAUUAACAAACUCCGUUAAGUUUGAUCAUUAGUCUUGGGGGUAAAGUGACUAAAAGAUAACGUUAAGGGGGAAAUUGAUAGUAACACCAAACGUUAAGGGGGUAAAGUGAUAAUAACCUUUUUUAAUAUGAAAUCACCACACAAUCAACAUGUAGUCAUUUUCUUUUAUGUAUAAAUAGGUCAAAUUCAACUUUUUUAGUGUAAAAAAUGAAUAUGGAUUAGGUCAAAUUUCACUUUUUUUUUGGGAAAAAAAAUGAAUAUGAUUUGAGUCAGAUUCUACGUUUUAGGAACAAAAAUAAAGAUGGAUUGAAUCAUUUGUUUAACUAUAAAUGAGAUUUAACCUUUUUGUUUAAAAAAAAAAGAUCAUAUGUGAUCACUUGAUGGAUUAAGGAUAAAUUUUAUCGACUUAAUUUUGUAGGGGAUGCAAAGUUAGCAUUUAAAAGUGAAGAACGAAAAAAUUCGUUUGGUGAAAUGUGAAAAACAUUUUAAACGAUUUUUCCUUAAAAAUAAAAAUAAUCUGAAUUUGUAGUCCUUUCUUUUAUUUUUUUAUUUUUUGAAGAGAGAAUUUGAAAAUUUUCCGGUGGGCUUCUUUUCUUUCUCCUUAAAGUGUUUCAGUGUGAAUUUACCUUUUUCUUGAAGGGACAUAAUAUGUAUGUCACAAUAAAUAAAACUAGCCAGCUGAAUAUUUCUCAAGACUGUUAUGCUUUUCAUUUCAAGGGACAAUUGAUUAUUGAUCUAGGAAACAAGAAAAUCAAAAAGUAAUUGAGGAAUAUGCGAUAUUUUUCUAUAUCGUUUAGGAGGAAAUGUUGGGGUAGUCAAUUAAAAACCCUGAAAGAAUAAAAAACAAAACGAAAAAGUAAAAUCCGACUGGUACGUUACGACGUCGGAUUAUCCAUACAUUUCAUUUCCGUUCUCCCGUUGAACCCUACUAAAACCCUCUUCUGUGUCCAAUUUCAAGAAAUAGCCCCAAAAAGGGUUUAGAAGAAGGAAGUUGAAAAUGGCGAGCCGUCUCGUUCAUUUCCGACCGACGGCGAGACUCCGGUGGCUGUCUACAGCAACAGAAAUGGCAACGGCAACGGCAACGGCAACGGCAACGACAGCGACAACGGCUGUGACCCAAGAUACAGCAACGGCUGUGACCAAAGACAAGCCUAAUAUCUCUCUGUUCAGGAAACUGAAGGAGCUGAAUAUUGGACCAGGCUCAGACGCUAAUGUUUCAGUGGUUCUAGAUGAAUGGGCCAAUGAAAGUCAGGCUAAACGAUUCGAUGCUGCUAGACAAAUCAAUUUUCUCCGAUCCCGCAAACAUUACCAUCUAGCCCUCCAGGUAAUUUCUUGAAUUUGGUUAUUUUCUUCUUUCUUCUUCUUGUUUUUUUUUUGUUUUUUUAAAAAUUGUUUCUUUAGGCAUUCCUAGAUUUGUGGAUGAAUGAAUAUGCGACACGUGAGAUUUAUGCUUUAGAUGGUUUAUUGUGCUUGUGGAGUGUAUUUAUUCAAAUCAAGUUGCUGUAUUCUUAUUGGGUGCUAAAUUGUUGUAAUGUGGUGAAAUUUUCUUUGUAAUUGAUAUUAGUAUGCAUUCUAAUCUUUUGUUUCGAUUUGAAUAAAAAAAACUUUGAUUGUUUUAUUCCUUUUCGAAUGCUUAAUAUUCUUAGACAGAUAGCGAAUGUGAUUGUGGAAAAGAGCAUUACUUUAUCAUAGGAAGAAAAGUCAUUUGUUGGGUAUGCAAGAAGUGAUUGUUUAUUUGGGUAAUAUGGUCGGGUUGGAAACAGCAUAGAUGUGCCGUUUGUUAGCAUUGACAACUAUUUGUAAAACAGGGGAGGCAUAGAAUUUGGGUAGCAGAUGAUAUGUUUAUUGAACAUUAGAUGCUCAGUUUUUGUAGGAAGCUUUUUACCCUUAUGGAAACAAAAUCUGGGAUGUAUUCUUUUAAUAUGCUUGUUGAAAAUAGGUAAAGGAUCAAGCGUGGGUUGUAUAGGAAAUUGUACCUGUAUACCAACAAUGGGGAUUGAUGAGCAAGGAACAAGUUGAGUUGUAGAUUAAAUUGUAGUUAUCUAUCAACUUCAGGAAAUAUAUAGACUUUGCAUGGACAUCUGUUGAAUUAAUAAUAUCUUUUCCUUCCUUAGAUGGCAUUUUAUUUGCUUCGGUUUGUUCUCAAACUGGAUAGUUUGGUUUGGACUUUGUAAUUGUUUUCCUUAUCUUGUUACUAAUGCAGCUAUCAGAAUGGCUGGAGAGCAGCAAGAUUGAGAUGAACAAUGCUGACCGAGCUGUGCAGAUUGACCUUCUUGCAAAAGCUAAGGGUAUUGCUUCAGCUGAAGUUUAUUUUGAUGGUCUUCAGGGAUCUGCGAAAACAAACAAAACUUAUGGAGCACUUCUCAACUGUUAUUGUAAGGAGAAAAUGUUGGAUAAGGCUGUCCAACUCUUUGCCAAGAUGAAGGAGCUGAAUUUUACUUCCACUCUGAACUAUAACAAUGUGAUGUCUUUAUACUUGAGCAGUAACCAGCCCGAACAAGUCCCUCUGCUUGUGCAAGAAUUGGAGCAGAAUAAACUUAAAGCAGAUAAAUAUACGUGCAAUCUGUUGAUUAACAGCUAUGCUUCCUCAAAUGAUAUAAAUGCAGCGGAGAAAGUUCUUGAGAAGAUGAAGAAAGAUAAGGUAAAGUAUGAUUGGUUCACUUAUGGGAACCUAGCAACUAUUUACGUCAAUGCUGGACUUCUUCCCAAAGCCAAAGAAAUGAUAGGAGAGAUGGAGAAAUUUGAAAAUGUGCGUGAUCGUGAGUUUUUCCAUAUGCUAAUCAACUUGUAUGAGCUUAUGUCUGACUUGGCUGGGGUUAAUCAUGUGUGGAACUCCCUCAAGUCAGUUUUCCCCUCCCCCAGUAACACUAGCUAUCUCAUCAUGCUGUUGGCUCUGUUUAAAUUGGGUGACCUGGAAAACCUGGAGAAGUAUUUUAGAGAGUGGGAAUCUCAAUGCUCAUUGUACGAUGUCAGACUAUUCAAUGUGGUCUUGGAAUCUUAUCUUAAUAGGAACAUGAUUGGGGAAGCUAAUGCUCUCUAUGAAAGUAUGGUGACCAAAGGAAUCGAUCCCACCUUAGCGACACUGAAUAUUUUCACAAUCUACCACAUUAAGAAUGAUCAGAUUGAUUCAGCUCUGAAGUAUCUGGAGAUGGGUGCAUGCAAGACAAUCCCAGAGGAACAUAGGUGGUUUCCUACAGAUGAAACUGUCAAAUUGUUUUUAGAAUAUUUUGAGAAGAAAAAUGAUGCAACUAGAGCUGAGAAGUUUUGUAACAGCAUGAAGAAGAUUGGUCGUCUUGAUUCUGCCGUUUAUGCAUCUCUGCUUUCCAAAAGUUGAUGACUAGAUCACUGCAUCGAAGUAUAGAGGUGUUUCUGAUUUAAAUAUGGCAGUGAGAAGAGGCCUUGACAAUUUGAUAUUUUAUACUGGCCUAAUUUAAGUCUUGCAAGGAAAUCGAGUUAAUGUUCACAAAUGCUAUUGUGCGAAGCAAAGCUGGCCUGUACUGAAACCUAGACCUAAACUAUGGCGGUGUAAGACCCCCGCGUGCACGCCCGCCGGGGGGGGGGGGGAUCUAAACUGUGGUCGAACGCAGUUAUUAUCACAACGAGCAAUGUCGAUUCCCUUGUAUAUUUGUACGUAGGACAUUAGUUCUCCAUAUUCUGAUCAACUUGCCUUUUCACUUCAGCGUUCUUUUCUUGGUGUUCUGUUGUUUUUUGGUUUUUUUUUUUUCAGCAAUUGCCUCUGAUGUUGAAUCCCUGUACUAGAUAUGACAGCAUUCAUUGUUUAACCAUCCAAGCAAACGAACCAAAGAAGUUUCUUGGCUCGUUUGCGCAAUUUAAACUGGUGACGAUAAGAUGUUAGAACUGAUUAAUUAUCAUAAUGCUGUUGUAAGAAGGUUGUUGAUGAUUGAAGUGGCCAGCGUUAGGUUGAGGUUCCCGCACUGAGCAUCAGAUCUUGGGAAACAGUUAAGAGGUUCAAUCUUUCUUGUGUUUUAGUAUGAUAAUUUCUCAGGAGCAGCAGUUAAGUGCUUGAUUAAAGAAGAAAAUAAAGGAAUAAAGGUAUUUCAACAAACAAGAUCGCCGUGUUUGGACGCUAAUUCCUGGAUAAGUCUCUACCUCUCAACUUCUAUUCAACUAUUUCCUUCUAAUUUUUUUUUUUAUUUUGAGCAUCCGGGAUCCCUACUUUCAGUGAGACUAAUCCGUAUUCGACCCGAAAACACCCGCAGAGUUCGACUUAUUUUUUACCAUUCGGUAUCUCCAUAUUCAGUGAGACUAAUCUGCAUUCGGCCCAAGAAUACUCGCAGAGUUCAACUUUUACUCAGGAUAAAGCUCUGACUCAGAACUUUUCAAAAUAUCACAUACAGGAAUCGAAUUUAUGACUUUUUAUUGCCGUUAACAACUCGCUUACUAAUUGUCCCAAACUUACGGGUUAUUUCCUUUUAAAUUGUCUUAUCAAUCAAAGCCGGGAUGAGUUGUUGUGGCACGUCUGCUGAAACAGCAAAUACCACGUCACAGCGCAUCCUCCACUGGGAACCUUUGAGAAUAUGGGUCGACUUGAAUAUCACUCAUAAGUCCAAUUUCUUCAUAAACCAAGAAUUGAGUUUGAAUUCAAGAAUAUGAUUUGUUACGUGAGUCAAGCUCAAGCACAUCAAAACUCAACUUAUAAAAUCCAAUUGACAGACCUAUUUCACUUGAACAGAUAAAAUGCUCAAAUAAGAUAAGUAGAAUUCACUAACUUCAUUGACAGCAAUUCAUGAAGGACCCUUACAUGUCCAUUUGACUGUAUUACUUUUGUCAAAAGCCAACUAUUGAGCUUAGCAAGUAUUUCGUCCCAAGUACCUGUUUUAUACCCUGAUAAGGAUUUCCCACGAAAAUUACCCUCAAUGUGCACGAUCAGGAUGUCCUCCUAAGUCCUAGGUCUUAUCCGAUUUCAUAACCAGUGUGCAAAGCUAUUUAGGUCGGUUCUUGAACUUGUCUUAAUUGAAAUGCUUGAAACCCCAAAACUUUGGUAUAUCUACCACUUUGAGCAUAUGGAAUUCUUACAAUCUUAUAUUCAUCUGCUUGGCUGAGAUAACCAAAUCCAAGAGCCAAGAAACUACUAUGCCUAUUCGAAUGCUUUAUGUUAAUGCUUGAAGAGGAAAUGCACUUAUAUUUUCUAAUACAAUGAUUCCAUAAAUAUGGUUUGCCCAAUGUAGUAGAUGGUAUUUCUUUUUUAUUGGCAAAACUUUGGUUUUUAGCACAAAGGAAAUUGGAGGCUUUGACAGGGCUAGCUAUAAACCACAUAAAAUGUACCAGUUGGUUACUCUAGGGAAAGAGAUGAAUCUGAAAAGUUGGAGUUCAAGUUCACCAUGGUAAGGAAGCCAGAUCAAACCAGCCCCGUGCCUGAGUCACCUACUGAAGCAAGUAAAUCAUCAACAGUGGAAGAGAAGGCAUGGAACUAUAGCUGCUAUGCCUACGCCGCCAGAGAAGAUGAAGCUCAUUUCUUCUGGGAAUGCAAGGACUAAGAAGAAAUCACAGCAGUGCAUUAGCAAUUCAGUGUAUGGUGGUUGCAGGCUUGCAGCAGCAGCAGCUACAAGAGGGAAGCCUCGCAUCCCAAGCCCAAGGCAAAUGGUCCUCUUAGGAGCAAAGCUGAAGCCAUAACCUGGAGAUGCUUUUGGAUAAACCUGCUACUGGUAAUCAAAGCAUACCAUCCUUUUGGAUACACACAUGAGACGGAUCAAGCUUUCAGCUGGAAGCUACAACAGGACUGUAACAAUCACCUCGAAAGGAAGGUCUGGAAUUGUUUCGUGUUUCUUGGACUGGAAUCUAAAUAGUUCGCUUGGGUUUUUCAGAUUGUGAGGUGUUAUGAAAAUAGAGAAUUUUUGAACCCAUAGUUGGACCUAAAAAUUUGCUGCUUCUAUACACAAAAAAGAAGACACAAAACCCAUCCAAUUUUGAUACUUUGGAACUUUUUAUCGAUUGUGAACAAAAUGGCUGACCAGAAACGCCCUGUUUUUCCGAUAGAAAUCAUCACUCCGUUUUUUGAUCCAGCUACCUCCUAAGGUCUUGAUGAAGCUCAUGCACCUUUCAAGAUCACGGAAGAACUUGAUCAGAGACCCUAGUUCUCUACGGCAAAAUUUGAAAGAUUCUCAGCAAAAGGUAAUCGAUAUCUCUUGUAUUUGACUGCGGAGUUAUAACCCGUGGACUUUCAAGUUGAAUGAUGAUAGAUCAUUCCAAUAUUUGUUUAGAUUUAAGAAUGCCUAUUUUUUUGGUCCACUCCUCUUUUCCUUCCUCACUUCUUUAAUCUCACCUGUUUUCUAUCUUGACAAGGACUUCGCCCCAAAGUUACCCACAAUCUGCACGAUCAUAUUUACUUCUAUCCUUCUUCCUUCUUCUUAACCAGUGUCCAAAGAUAUUUAACUUAGUUCUUGAACUUGUUUAAAUUAACAUAUUUAAAUUAAAUCCUUGAAAUUCCUUCCAUGCAAGUUGAAAAGACAAUCGCUUUAACUUAGUUGAAACCUCAAUUGCAGACACUUUCAAGUCAAAAAAUGGACCAUCUUAUAUUUCCUAAGAGGUAAUUAGUGAAGCUAAAGCAGUCUCUUCCGUAAUAUACAGCAGAUUCUUGAAAGAACCUAGUAAUUACACCUAUACUCAGAGAGAAAUGGUAGUGGCAAUGUCGAAUCAUAUUGAGAAUUUCCAACGAUCUGUCAUAUAAAUGGAAAUAAAUAUUUGCUUUGAUAGGACCGGGCCAGGAAAUAGACAAACUCAAGUUAGCACAAAUUAGGCGGUAUAACCGACCAUAUAAUAGAUAGGCGGUAGAUACCAGCCAUAUAAUAAUUAGGCGGUAAAACCGACCAUAUAAAGACGGAUAACAAAGCAAAUAAAAGACACAAAAGAUUUACGUGGUUCGGUCAAAUUGACCUACGUCCACGGGCGAGAGAGGAGCAAUAUUUCUACUAUGAAGAAGAAAUACAAAAGCCGUAGGAAAGUGGUUCCUAGGCCAAUAGGCACUUACAAAAGAGUUUAGAAAAUAUUCCUAAAUUCAAAACAAGAGAGCCUAAAAUAUUUAACUGAAUGGGAUAGAUGACUCAAGAAGCUAAUGGCCCAUAUAACUCUCUUGAGUGGUGCGAUUGAAACCUUCAUAUGAGCCCCCUAUUUAUAGUUGUAUUUGGGAGGCUUUCCUUCUGCUUCAGGCGAUGUGGGAUGAGGAAAUUCUGCCACAGUCAAGGAUUGCGGCUGAAGAAUUGCGGCUCAACAAAUCUCCACCUUGGCAUAAUUUUGAGUCCCACCAUCGUCAAUAGUAAAUUCGCUCCACCUUCUCCACAUAAGACCCAAUGGGUCUAAAUCACAAAUAACGAACACCAACCAAGUCCAAGCACUGCUUGAACUUGUAAUUUGGAAGAGGCUUCGUAAACAUAUUGGCUGGAUUGUCCUUAGUAUUGAUUUUCUGAAUAAGGACUUUUCCCUCUGCAAUGAUAUCCCGAAUGAAGUGAUACUUCACAUCAAUAUGCUUCGUCCUCUCAUGAUACAUCUGAUCUUUAGUCAAGUGUAUGGCACUUUGACUAUCACAGUGAAUAUCAGUAACACCUUGAUAUAGACUUAACUCGCUAAAUAAACUCUUCAACCACAAGGCUUCUUUGAUUGCCUCGGUCACAGCCAUAUAUUCUGCUUCAGUAGUAGACAAAGCUACGACAGGUUGUAGAGUAGCUUUCCAACUAACAGCACAACUGCCAAUGCAAAAUACAUAGCCUGAAAGUGAUCUUCUCCUGUCAAGAUCCCCAGCGUAGUCUGAGUCUACAAAACCAACCAAAGUGUUAUUAUUUCUUCCAAACUCCAAACAUACAUUUGAAGUACCUCGCAAGUAUCUGAGAAUCCACUUCACAGCCUGCCAAUGUGUUUUACCAGGACAAGAUAUAUAUCUGCUAACAACACUGACUGCUUGUGCAAUAUCUGGACGAGUACAAACCAUUGCAUACAUAAUACUGCCGACUGCACUGGAAUAAGGAACCCGUGCCAUAUAAUCUUCCUCUUCAUCUGAUUUUGGUGAUUGAGCAGCAGAUAGCCGAAAAUGUCUAGCAAGAGGAGUAGAUACUGGUUUAGCAUCUUUCAUGCCAAAACGCUCCAAGACUUUCUCAAGGUAAUUUUUCUGGGUCAAAAAUAACUUCCCUACUCCUCGAUCUCGAUUGAUAUCCAUGCCAAGAAUUUUCUUAGCUGCUCCCAAAUCUUUCAUUUCAAAUUCACUAUUUAACUGCAGUUUCAAAGUGUGAAUUUCUGACAAAUUCUUGGCAGCAAUGAGCAUGUCAUCAACAUAAAGCAGCAAAUAAAUGAAAGAACCAUCAUUUAACUUCCGGAAGUAAACACAACUAUCAUACAUGCUCCUCAAAUAACCAUGACCCAACAUAAAGGAAUCAAACCUCUUAUACCAUUGUCUUGGAGACUGUUUCAAUCCAUAUAAGGAUUUCUUCAAUAAGCAAACAUGGUCUUCCUUACCUUCAAUUUCAAAACCCUGGGGUUGUCUCAUAUAAAUUUGUUCUUCAAGUUCGCCAUGUAAGAAAACUGUCUUAACGUCGAGUUGUUCUAACUCCAAAUUAUACAUGGCAACUAAAGCAAGCAAAACACGAAUAGAGCUAUGUUUAACAACAGGUGAGAAUAUAUCAUUAAAAUCAACACCUUGUACCUGACUAUAGCCCUUUGCAACCAAUCGUGCUUUAUAUCUUACAUCUUCAACCCCUGGAAUACCUUCUUUCUUCUUGAAAACCCAUUUGCAUCCAACAAUUUUCUUAGCUGACGGCGGCUUUACAAGAACCCAAGUUUCAUUACGAUGAAGAGAUUCAAUUUCUUCAUUCAUCGCAAUCAACCACUUUGCAGAGUCAUCACAAGAAACUGCUUCUGAAUAGGUGGAAGGCUCACCAACUGCAUCAGUUUCUUCUGCAACAGACAAAGCAUAUGCAACUAAAUUUACAUAUCUUUGUGGUGGUCGAAUGUCUCUCCUUGCUCUAUCUCUGGCUAUGGAAUACUCUUCUUCUUCAGAACUAUCUUCAACAGUAGAUUCAGGUGUAUCUACUGGCAUUUGAAUAGAAGAUUUGGAUUGAGAAGGACCAGAACUGCCAAUAUCAAGCUCCACCUGCUUCUGUGUACUAUCAGUAGUACAAGGACUAGAAGACUCCUUCUUGGAAGAUAACAGAGAUAAUUCAUCAAAAGUAACAUCUCUACUGAUUACAAAUUUUGGGGAUUUGGGAUCAGAAUACCAUAAUCUGUAUCCUUUCACCCCAGAAGCAUACCCAAGAAAAAUGCACUUUUUAGCCCUAAGCUCCAAUUUUCCAUCAUUCACGUGCAUGUAUGCUGGACACCCAAAAACUUUUAAAUUGGAGUAAUCAGCAGGAGUACCUGACCAAACUUCCUCAGGAGUUUUGAAAUCAAGAGAUGCAGAAGGAGAACGGUUGACAAUAUAACAGGCCAUAUUGAUCGCCUCUGCCCAAAAGUCGUUUGUCAACUCUGCAUUGGAGAUCAUACAUCUUGCUCUCUCCAAAAGAGUUCUGUUCAUACGUUCGGCCACACCAUUUUGUUGAGGCGUCAUCCUGACGGUGUGAUGCCGAACAAUUCCUUCAUUUUUGCAAAAUUCAUUAAAUUCACCUCCACAAAAUUCCAUGCCAUUAUCUGUUCUCAACCGCUUAACAUGUUUUCCUGUUUGUUUCUCAAUCAAAACUUUCCAUCGUUUGAAAGUUAGGAAAACAUCAUUUUUAUGCUUAAGAAAAUAGACCCAAACUUUCCUUGAAUAAUCAUCAAUGAAAGUCAACAUGUACCUGGCACCACCUUUAGAAUGAGCACGAGAAGGACCCCAUAGAUCUGAAUGAAUGUAAUCAAGAGUACCUUUUGUCUUGUGAAUUGCUGGUGAACUGAAGCUGACUCUUUUCUGCUUCCCAAAAAUACAAUGUUCACAGAAUUCCAAUGGCCCGGUACUUUGACCACACAGAAGUCCUCUUUUGCUCAGUAUGCCCAAGCCUUUUUCGCUCAUGUGCCCCAAACGCAUAUGCCAUAAUUUGGUGAUGUCAGUAUCUGACAAAGAUGAUGUUGAAACAGCAGCAGCACCUGUCACAGUAGAUCCCUGCAAAAUAUACAAAGUACCAGAUCUGUGUGCCUUCAUAACAACAAGAGCUCCUCGAGUGAUUUUGAGAACUCCGUUUCCACCUGAAUACCUGCACCCGAUAGACUCAAGAGUGCCCAAAGAGAUGAGAUUUUUCUUCAAAUCUGGAACAUGUCUAACAUCUGUGAGAGUCCUCACAAUACCAUCGUACAUUUUAAUUUGGAUUGUGCCUUUGCCAACUACUUUACAAACAGCGUUUUUGCCCAUUAAGACAACUCCACCUUCAGUUGAUUCAUAUGUUGAAAACCAAUCCCUGUUGGGACACAUAUGAUACGAACAACCCGAAUCUAAAAUCCACUCAUUGUUAGACCUAAAAUUAUUUUCCGUUGCACAGAAAAUGGUUCCAUCAUUCUCAUCAGCUGCUAUACUAGCUUCAGCGGAUUCAGUAUUUUUCUCAACAAAUUUCCCCUUUUGCUUUUCCUUAUUUUUCAAUUUAAAGCAAUCAGAAAUAACAUGACCCUUCUUUUUACAAUAAUUGCACACCACAUUUUUAUGUCUGGACUUGGAUCUAUUUCUAUUUUCUGUGUUUCUCUUUUCAGAUCUACCCCGAACAAACAAGCCAUCAGCUUGACUCCCACUAGUUUCCCCAGUAAUAUCCCUAUCUAUCUGCUCUUUAGAUUUUAACGCAGAUUUAAUUUCCCGAUACAAAAUUGUUUCCUUUCCAUAUAUCAUAGUAUCACGGAAAUACUUAAAGGACUGAGGAAGGGAACAUAAAAGUAAUAGGGCCUGAUCUUCAUCAUCAAUUUUCGAAUCUAUAUUCUCCAAAUCCAUAAUAAUGGAAUCAAAUUUAUCAAGAUGGGAGAGUAUAGAUGUACCUUCAGACAUCCGAAGCAUAUACAAACUCUGCUUCAGAUAUAGCCGAUUCUCGACUGUGUUCUUCAUAUACAAGGCUUUCAAUUUAUCCCACAUAGCCUUGGCCGAAGUCUCCGUUGCUACCUCACGCAAUAUCUCAUCGGAGAGAUUUAGGAUAAUACUGGAUCUUGCCUUCUUAUCCAUCUCAGCAAAAUUUGCAUCUGUCACAUCUUCUGGCUUUUUCUCAAUUCCUUGAAUUGCCAAAUCAACUCCGUCUUGAACAAGAAUGGCCUCCAUCUUGAGCUGCCACAUGCCGAAGUUGACAUUCCUGUCGAAUUUCUCGACAACCGUCUUUGUUAUCGUCAUUGUUGCCACAAAAUCUGUAACUUGAAAUUUGUCUCAAAAAAAAAACUGGCCAAACAAAUAUGCAAGUCUCGUGAGCGGGCCCCACAGGGUGAGCGGACCCCACGAGAUAAGCGGGCCCCACGGGGAUGAACGGACCCCACAAGGUGAGCGGGCCCCACGGAUAAACGGACCCCACAGGAUGAGUGGGCCCCACAGGAUGAACCUGUCUUGCAAAAUAUAACAACCAGCUCUGAUACCAGUUUGAUAGGACCGGGCCAGGAAAUAGACAAACUCAAGUUAGCACAAAUUAGGCGGUAUAACCGACCAUAUAAUAGAUAGGCGGUAGAUACCAGCCAUAUAAUAAUUAGGCGGUAAAACCGACCAUAUAAAGACGGAUAACAAAGCAAAUAAAAGACACAAAAGAUUUACGUGGUUCGGUCAAAUUGACCUACGUCCACGGGCGAGAGAGGAGCAAUAUUUCUACUAUGAAGAAGAAAUACAAAAGCCGUAGGAAAGUGGUUCCUAGGCCAAUAGGCACUUACAAAAGAGUUUAGGAAAUAUUCCUAAACUCAAAACAAGAGAGCCUAAAAUAUUUAACUGAAUGGGCUAGAUGACUCAAGAAACUAAUAGCCCAUAUAACUCUCUUGAGUGGUGCAAGUUAAAUCCUUCAAAGGACCCUUCUAUUUAUAGGCCUCGAGUAGCCGGCUUCUCUUCAGCAGGCUCCGAUGUGGGAUGAGAAGGAAAUGAAAAAUUAUGCCACAAGUCAAAGCUUGCGGCUCUGACAAAACAACAUGCUUCAUGCUCCAUUUCAUAAAUAAAAAACAAAAGGAGCAUUUGCCAAACAAAUCAGCUCAUAACAGAUAAUAAGUUGGAAGCCCUCCCAAUUAUUUUUUCUUUUUUCAAUAAAAACUAAAACAUAAACAGAUAGUUUCUCACUUUUUUUUUCGCCAAACCUCCCUCAGUGCAACAGUAAUCGGUGGUUUUCCAAGAUAAACUUUAAGAAAAAUUCCAAUAGUUUUACAUACACACACUCCCUCCGCGGGGGGUCUUCUCCUUUUAUGAGCUAUAAAUCCCCUAUGCUUGGAAGAAGAACUCCAUAAUUGCCAGAAACCCAGGAUCGCUAUUAUCAUUUUUAUACUUUACACCUUCCACAGUACACUCCUUAACUUCUCGUAUUCCUUGUAAAGAAACUUCAAAUUACACAUACACUCACAGAUACACACUUUCCAUGGCAAAAUGAAUAAAAAAUAAAACGUUACUGAACAGCCUGUCAGAUCAAAUGCAAGGUCCGUCCUCAAGCCAACACCCAAAAGCAUCAGCAACAGCAGAAGAAGAUGAGAUCGCACAAUUCAUCGUUUGCAAUGAGCUCGUCAAUUAGAUUCUCUCAAGCUUCUGGUGCGUUUUCAAAUCUUGGCUUUGUUAGAUCCCUGGAGUUCGUCAAAACCCAUGUGGAGAAAUCUCACAAUCCACAAAACCAAUGACUACAUGUUGCAUAGUUUUUUUUUUCAUGAUUGGUUUUUAUCCAAAAUUAAGCAGUCUUCUCUUCAUUUUGCAUUGUAUUUUAGGCAGUUAAACUACCAGAGAGAGAGAGAGAGAGAGAGAACAUCUUGUGGUAGUGCUUGUUGUUCCAUUAGGCCAAGUUAAAGGUCUGAAUACAUUGAUAUGCUCAAAUUGGCAUUUUCUCAGAUUUAACCAAACUGAACUAAAAUAAGAUCAAACAAAACAUGGUCAAACACUCUUUUUACAACUCAAAUAAAUUGCUUUUACAAUUAAAAACAUUAAUGAAGUAGAUUGGAUUAAGCCAAAAAAACAACAAUUCGUAUAAUUUGACCUCUAAAGUGAAGCGGAAAUCAAAUAGAGAAAAUUGGACAAAAAAUUUAUGUAGUUUGGUUUAAAAGCUACCUACAAUAUCUUAGGUCGUCUUCUCCUUGUGUAAUUUUUGAAUAUGCAACAUAAAAGGCUCGUCUUUUGAUGUUAACAUCUUUAAGUUUGGCAAAUUACAAACGUAAGGACUUUGUUUUGAAACAUUCAUGAAACGAUAGUGAUACAAGGCCGAAAAUGUAUCAUCAAAAAACAUAUGGUUGUGUACUGAUCUAUGUGUGAUGUAUUUAUAAGCUAAUCUAACGUACAAGUGGUUCAAAGCUGAUCUACCACUUUGUAGUGAUUAGGUUCAAAGAAUCUUCACUAAAAUAGUGGUUCAAUCGAAUGACACCAUUAUUUAUGCAUACGAUUAUCAGAUUAUUCUGUAACCUUUGGAAGUCUAUUUUUUAAAAUUUGAAAUGGCCGAGGAUUGUUGAAUAUUUUCAAAAUUUGAUUAGUUGCAAGAUGGGGUCCUGUCUUAGGAUUCAACAUGAGACCCAUCACUAUUUGGUUCUUGUAAUGCUCAGCUAUGUUUUCAGAACCGGACCGGGUAGUGACUUGGCCGAGGUCAGGGGUCAGGGGUCAAUGGAUUCGACCGGGGGUCGAUAGGGGUCGAACCGGAUGACGUCAUAAAUAAAAAUUAUUUAAAAAUUAAAAUAUUAUAUAUAUAAUAUCUAAUAAUAUAUUGAUAUUAAUAAAGGUAUAUUCAUAUAUAUUUGAUGUUUCAAAUAUAUUUAACAAGAAAAUACAAAAAAAUUAGAACAAUCAAGUAGCAAUUUAUAUUAUUUAAUAAAUAUUAACAAGUUAGAAUUAAAAUUAUGAAUUUAAUUGAAAAAUAACAUCAAAUUUUAGGACAAUAUUUAUAAAGUAUCAAAUAUUUGAGGUAUAUCAAUAAGUUUUAACAAUUUAGGGGGUCAAAACAUAAUAUUAAAAAGUUUGAAUUUUUUUUUAAAAAAAUUACUGUUGAACCAGAAAAAUCGGUUUUUUCCCGAUCAAACCCUGUUUUUGACCGGCUUUGACCGGGUUUUAAAUUUUCGGUUUUUUAAUAUGACUCGGACCGGCUACCUGGCCGAUUCCCGGUUCGACUGGCCGGUCCGGUCCGAGUUUUAAAACAGAGAUGCUCAGAAGUUGUUUAAAUCUACUUGACAUCUUUUCAUAUUUUUGACAGUUGAUUAUCCAAAAACUGUCUGAACACUUACAUUGAUAUUGAGGAAAUUUUUUACCAACACAAAUGCACAAAUCAGUGGUGAAAGGUUGAACUCUUGAUCAUUUUCAAUCUCAAUUCUAUAAAGGUCUAGUAGGGAUAGCUUGCUGUAGAAGAUUAUUUUUCCUACUAUUAGAAUUUUUUGCAAAAACACACCAUAGUUCAAGUAGAUUUGUUUAACUUUGUACAAGAGUUAAGACAAGCAUUCUUCAAAUUAUCCUAAAGGAUAUUUUUUCAAAGUUUUUACACACAAAAUUUUGGACAAAUAAAGUUUAAAGGAAAGUGAUCUUGAAUCACGAUUUGAAGUCUUUUUGCUUUGUAACUUUCAGCCAUGUUCUCUUGUAGUCUCUAAUAAUUUUUUCGAGGCUCUAAUUUGGAGACGCAUACAUUGCACGUGGAUUAGAAUAUGGCUAGAAGGAAGACUAGGAGAAUAGUAGAGACCAAUAUAUAUAUAUACUAGUUUUGGGGUGCCACGCAUUGGCGUGGCACUGCCCAGGUUUGUGUUUAAUAUGUAUAUAUAAUUUUGGUGUUAUUUAUGAGAAGAGUGUUGUAUGGUAAUACUGAUGCAAUGGCGUGACAGGAUUUAGUUAUUAUGGGCAACACAUACAAAAGAAAAAAUAAAAAACUAAUAAAUAGAAGAGAACCUGAAAGAAAGAAGAGAAGAAAGCUCCCUAUAGCCUAACCGAAAGCAAAAAACAACGGAGUUAAACUGACAUCACAGUCACCCAGCGAACUCGGAUCAAUCCAGUAUUUGCUCAACAAUGACCAAACGUACCAUGCAGCAGCCAACUGGACAAUGACUCAACGCACCCUAUACACAAUAUAGCGCCACACAGUCACCUACAACAGCACCCACUAACAUGCACCCGAUUCAAUAAACCCCACUAAAAGGCAAUGCCCAGGUUUAAGCUUAGCAUGUAUAAUUUUAGGGUUCUGUUUAUAAUGCAAUGCAUGUAAUGGUAUCCAAAUGGAAAUUCAUGUGCAUGUGGUGAGAAUAUUUGUCUAUAAUAAUGAUAUACGCGUUAUUGAAUCUGGAGUAAAUAUACUUACAGGAGAGAUAAUUAAUUGUAUUAGGUUUGUCAUGCCUAAAUGAUUUUUGUUGAUAAUUUGGAAAGGAUUAUUUUGUUUUAUUUUUUAUUGUUCCUUUGAUAUGUUAUAAUUUCUUUUAUGGGUUAUCCUAAUUGUUAGGCUCAUAUAAUAACUUAGGUAGUAACUAAGUUAGGAUAGUUAAAUUCUGAUUUUUGUUAACACUCAAUUGAAUUCUAAUUAUCAUCUACUAUUAGCUAGUCAAUAGUUUUAGUAUAGUUAAAUUAGUUAAAUUUUUCAUUUUGAAUUCAAAAUUUGAUUUUAUUAUAGUUCAAUUAGUUAGCUAGUCAAUAGUUUUAGUAUAGUUAAAUUAGUUAAAUUCUAAUUAGCUAGUCAACACUCAAUUAAAUUCUAAUUAUCAUCUACUAUUAGCCAGUCAAUAGUUUUAGUUUAGCAUAGUUAAUUUAGUUAAAAUUUUCAUUUUGAUUUUAUUAUAGUUAAAUUAGUUAGCUAGUCAAUAGUUUAAGUAUAGUUAAAUUAGUUAAAUUUUUCAUUUUGAAUUGAAAUUUUGAUUUUUUUUUAACACUCUAAUUGUAAUUAGGAACGAUUAGCUCCUUGAAUUGGCCAAUAUUACACCAAUAACCGGUCUAAUGUGGCUAAUAUUACACCUAUUUGAUUUUAUAUCAUAUAUUUCUAAUUGUAAUUAGGAAAAUUUUGAUUUUAUUAUAGUUAAAUUAGUUAGCUAGUCAAUAGUUUUAGUAUUGUUAAAUUAGUUAAAUUUUUCAUUUUGAAUUGAAAUUUUGAUUUUUUAACACUCUAAUUGUAAUUAGGAACGAUUAGUUCCUUGAAUUGGCCAAUAUUACACUAAUAACCGGUCUAGUGUGGCUAAUAUUACACCUAUUUGAUUUUAUAUCAUAUAUUUCUAAUUGUAAUUAGGAACGAUUAGUUCUUUGAAUUGGCCAAUAUUACACCAAUAACCAGUCUAAUGUGGCUCCAUGCAAUCACCAACAAAUGAAGAAUAGUUAUUGGCACCACCGUAACCAAAGGGCCCUCAGAUUGGUGUAAAUUACUGCAACAACCCACUAAGACACCCUAACCAAAGGCCCCUCAAAUUGAUGAAAAUUACUGCAAUAACCGGACCACAAUUGCUACAGUAACUUGAGCUUGGUACUUUUAUAUCUUGUAAGAUAUAUAUAUAUAUAUAUCCCAACAAUAUAUUUAUAUCCCCAAAUGGAUGCUUUUCUUCUGCCCCAAUUCUUUAAUCUUGGUAGUCCUUGAUGUAUAACUGGCUGCUAAUAUAGCAAGUAUUUGAAUGACAUCAUAUGGUAAGGACAUAAAUGCAUCCACUUAAUACAGUCCAUAUUUGCAUGCAUGUUACAUGACAACGUAGACAUUCAAGAGACCAAAAGUGAACUAAGAAUAUGUCUAGUUGCAUAUCAUUGUGUUGAAACCUUGAAAGCCCUUUUAACUGAUAGUUGUACCUGUACCCCAAAGUUCCUGAUCGAUCGCCAGCCCUGAGUUCGUUAUGUGGAGAAUUGUCUGUCAACAUCUAUAACUACAAGAAGCGAAGGUUGGUUUUUCAUGAUAGUUUCUCACUUGCAAUCCAAUAUCCUGAUCAUAUUUUUCCAAGCUUUGGAAAAAGACGUGAAUUUCACGGGGGAUUUAGAUGGAAAGCAAAAGGAGUAUGGUAGUAAUGAUCUCAAAAAGAAGACAAGGAUCUUCCUUGUCCCAUCGACCUUGGCUGAGAGUUUAGUUGAUUUCGUCCAUAUAUAUGCAGGCCAUGUAGGCUAUGUAUGUUACAUGUUAUAGGCCUCAAAUAAUCUUUUCCAGGCCUUGGUUUGGAGAAGCACAUAAAUCGCACGAGGAAUAUUACAGGAGGAGAAUGGUAGUGACAAUUAAAAAAGACCAAGGAAACCCUCUCAAACACUUGCUUUCGAUUAACAUUUGCUCAGCAUCUGAGAUUAGUUGAUGACGGAAACACUCAUCAACUGUUUGCCAUCCAUAACCUUUGCGUGCAUGUACGAGUAUGCUAGAUGGCUGAAGCUUCAAACAUACAGCUGAAUUUGAGUUUUUUUUUUUUUUUUUUGAGGUUUUAGACGGUGGAUUUUGGGAUUAAUUUCUCAAUCAAGUGCAAGAAUGUUGACCAAAAUAUGGAUUUACAACUUUAUGCUACUUGUCAACUUUGGCUGAUAAUUAAAAAAAAUGUUGCGUUUGCAACUACCUGCCAACUCUUUGCUCUCAUUUUCUACGUUUAUGCUUGAGAUUCUGAAAUUUUAAGGGGUUUGAAUCAAUAGUUUUAUGGUUAAAUUCACUGAAGUGUGACAAAUGGACUCAAAUUGAAAAAAAAAAAAAACAAAAGUAAUUUAAGCAAGGUAUCAUAAGAGGGAGAAUGAAGAAGAAAAGAGGGGAGAAAUCAAUCCAGAGAAUGAACAGUACCACGACAGAAACUGUUAUAAAGGAUAAAAGAGUUGCAACAAUGAUGAGGGAUGUGAGAGUGGUCUUAAGAUACAUAGGUCUUACCAUUUCCGAAUCUAAUCUGUGUAAUCAAUAUAUUUUUAAUGCUUUCUUUUUCUUUCAACAAUUUUUUUCUUGUAAUAAAUUUAAAUUAUUCAUUUAUUUUUCUAGAGUAACUUUACUUAAUCAGGCUUUAAUUUAUUAAUUUUUUCUUAGAAACUAAGUAUUUGUUUCAUGAGAAAAUGGAUUACUGCAUCUUUUAUAUUUAAUUGAAAAGGUUACGUAGCCUUAGGUGUAUAAUUAUUGUAAAAAAUUUAAUUGCUAUCUCAAAAACCUUUUUUUUUUUUUGGUUUAUGCAUCCUAUUAUGACAUAUUUAUGUAUAAAAGUUAUUAAAAAUUGGUAUGGUUGUCGACUAAUUAAUAUGUAAUAAUUUUCUGGAAUAAACAUCAUAAAACAUAUAAGAAUAUCAUUCAUAUUUCUUUUCUUUUUCGGUUAUUUAUUCCUUGGACAUGUUCGUAAAUAAUUAACAAAAAUACGUGCAUUAGCACGGCUGAAAUACUAAUUAUUAUUACUUCAAUGAAAUCCACGAUGGUUGUACGUACUCUUUUAUUUGAAAUUUAUAUUUGUCGACUUGAAAAUGACCAAGAACAAUGCAACACCAUUUACGUGGCUUAAAUUAAUACGACAUGAUUACUACAACUAGGAAUAAUCUAUUUCUCAUGUAGAUCGACUAUGGAAAAAACUAUUUGGACACAAAAACUGCAUCGUCUUCUAAUUCUUUAGUUGUCCAAAUUGCUUCAUGAACUUCAAAAUUGUCCUUAAACUUUAGAUUGGGAUAUCUUAUUCCUAAAAUGCAAAAGCUUCUGCCAUUUUAAUUAGCCCUUCUCAUAAGAUAAUCAUUGCAUUAAAAACUUACUUAAACAAGCAAACUAUGAUUGAAAAUAAUAGAAAUGCUAUUCUCUUUAUCGUGAAAGGACCUUAUGCUACAAGUGAACUACAACGUGAUAAAGUCAUGACAAUAGAUAGGGAAGCUUGGAUAAGUACCAAAAUGUUGCCUAAUCUUGUGAUCUCUUGGCCUAAAAUUUAAUGUCGGUGUUACAAUAACAAGUUAAAUAUUUAGUUAAUGGUCAUAGUAAAAGCAAAUAAUCUUCAAUCAGUCAAAUGAGUCCCAUCGUGAAUUAAUAGACAUACAUCAACUUAAUUAUCUAAUUUUUUUUUUUUUUUUUUGGAACGACACCAUUUACACAUCUAAAAAAUAAGCAACCAUAUUCUUUAGGGUAUGAUCUCAACUGUAUAUGGAUAUAGAAGUCACAAGUUCACGCCUCACUUAAUUAUUUGAGGUCGAUUUGGUUUUGCAAAGACAUAUAUUUACUAGUCAUAAAUAAUAUAUAUAUUAACUAGGUAAUUUUUGGAGCCAAAAUUAUUCUCUUUCCCAGGUUGCAGUAAACAACUUAAAGAACCUAAUUCCAGCUUACCUGCGGAUUGAUAUAUAAAUUGGGAUUUUGAAUCUUGAAUCUUCUUCAAAUUAUCUGUCGUGAAUUAGAUUGAAAGACAUAUUCAUUUUCUUAAAAGAAAAAAGCAGUAAACUGAACUUAUAACCCGUCAUGGGUCUAUCACAUCACAGGGAAGGAAUGUUGCAACACCAAACAGUGAAAAUGUCUCCAAUGAAACAUCAUAAUAAAAAAUUCCCAGCAACUCUACAAAAAUUUUGACACAAACUUUCAAAUAUAGAAGUACUGCGACACUUUCUUGAAACCUUUCUGUGUUUUGCACAAACUCAAUAGCCAUGCCAAGAAACAUCAUGAUUUGCACGCACCAUGUUUCAAGUUUGAGAUCCCUCCUAUCCUGGAACCCAAACUCAGCAACUACUUGAAUUCCUCUUAAGUAGCCAUCUUGUCUUGUCAGGGGAUCCCUUGUAGAUCCAUCAUCUUUCAAUGUCACCAAACCAUCAAGCAUGACCAGCGCAGAGGCAUAUAGAGUUGUGAACGGAUGAACAGUCAAGUAAUAACUAUACGAUUUGAGCUCCUCAAAUCGAGAGUAACGUUGUCUUUGCGAUCCCUUGACGUAUAUACAAGAUGAAACCGAAUCUUCUGAAUCUAAAUACAUUGAAUUUUGGUCUACAAUGCUUGGGGAAUGACCAAAUUCUCCACACUUGAGAUCAAAACGAGAAUUGGACGAGAAGUUUAGGAGGAAUUAAGUAACUAGAGAAUAGUAAAGCUGGUCUGCAACAUAAAACAGGGAUUUUGCCACAUCCUCUGAUAUUGCAUCAGACUUGAACUUUGCAUCUUUCGUUGUCUAUAUGGCCCCAAUCAAUUAAAUGGAUGCAAAUCAUGCAAUGAUGUGGAGGCCAGUGUAUAGUGUAUAAUCCGUUAUAAUCUUACAUGUAUGCAUAAACGGAUGUAUAGCAUGAAUCUUUCACACAUAAACACCUGUUUAUGCACACUGGUGUGAUUAAUUAGCCUUCUCAAGUGGGAAAACUAAUUAACAUAAUACAUAGGGCUCUGAAAUCCUUGCCAACUUAGAGUAGGAGUACGCCUAGACUGCUAGUGAUGCUUAAAUGCAAUUAGAUGACGGGUUUUAUUUAAUCAGAUUUUCAAACGAUUGUAGUUAUUCUUGGUGCUUUAUGCAUAAAUGGAGAAACCUCAUUCAUUGCUUUUGGAUAUCUUAUCACUCAUAGAAAAGUAUACAUGAUAGAGUAGAAAAACAAAAUUCUCUGCUUAAUUAGCGAUGAUUUGAUUUAUUAAACCAAUUGAACAUGUACACUGGGGUCAAUUUCGAAAGAUUUUGCACUUCACACUUGUAAACGAUAUUAGAUUCUCAAAUAAUCACACAAAUUAAGGCGUUUGAUACUUGGCACGCUACUAGUCAGCUAGUUAUAGGCUAGAAUAUGACGGUUUAUCAUAUUUUCAUUUUGCCACUUAAAAUGAUCAAAGCGAUUGUGAUGAUGAUGAGGGUUGAGGGAAGUGAAAGUGAAAGUGACAUUAAUUAUCAUUUUGAUUGAAAGCUGUGUCCUUCCAAGCUUGAGAUAUAUAACGAUCUAAGGGGUAGGAAGCAUUUUCUUUUCUGCGGAAAGAAGGGUGGAAGUGACUGAAACAGGAGCAAUAUAAAGAUUUGGACAUCCAGGGAAUGCAGCACAGGAGAAGGGAAUUAAAGGGAGUGGUGACUGAGAAUCUUGUUGAUCCUCCUGAUAUAUGCAUGCUCUUACCUCAGAAUCCUCUAGCUCUGAAGAGGGUAAUGAUGAUUCUGAUGAUAACUACGACAAUAACUAGGAAGAACCAGGGAGCUCUAUUAUCACUUUUAUGGGCCCAUAAAUAUCAAACAACAAAAAUAAUUUAUCAAGCAAGAAAGCACAAAACAAAAAAUGGAGUCUAUCAAAAUGCAGCGGCUACAACUUACUAAAGAAAUGGAGACAGUGCCUUUAGUCACUAUUUCGACAUUUUGAUGAAUGGCUGACCGUGUAUUUCCUAAUUGUAGAAUUACGUAGGUAAUUUGUGGAGCCAAGAUAUUGUUUUCACAAUUUGCAGUGCAUAUAGAGGAUUAAUUUGCAGUACAACUCAAAAAAUGGAAUUCCACACAUACACACGCACACACAUAUAGAGGAUUAAUUCUUCUUACAUCGUCACACUGUAUAUGCUGAUAGGAUUGAAUGAAUGUCAUAUUAUUUGAAUUUGAAUUUAAACAUUAAAUUUUGUAUAUGUGAUAUGCAUUAAUUUAAACCCGUUAGUGUAUACGCUAUUAAUGCAUAAAAGAUUUACUCAUUUAUAUAUAUAUAUAUAUAUAUAUUUGGAAAAACACGUGACUUGCACGAGAAUAUUAAGACCAAGAUGAAUAUGAAAAAUUUCUAUCCUAUAAAGUUUUUUGGGUUUCGAUUGCAUGUACAAGGGUAGACUUGCCAACAAGCCAAACACCAAAGUGCAACAGAGAAGUGGCCCUAACUAACCUCCUUCGAUUUCUCCAUCCACGAAAAAUUAUAGCGCAAAUGAUUCUUGCGUCCCUAUAGAUUAUGUUUUAGGAAGCACCAAUCCUGGUUAAACAAUUUGUGAAACAAGGCUUUAAUAUGAGUAUAGAUUAUGAGUAUAUAUAAAUUAACAAAGGCAAUUUCUAGAGGGUAUACAACUUGUUUAAUUCAGAGAAUUAGAAUAUCGUACAUGGUAUGCUUGUCUUGUGGAUGUUUUUUGAAUUUAUUAUCUCUCUGUAUAUUCUUUUUUUUUUUUUACAAGUCUUGAAAAUAUAUUGUUCUAUGUCUUUUUCCAAAAUAAAUUGUAUUUUUCUUUUCAAUUUGUCAUUUUAUGGGGAUAAAAAGUUCCAAAUUCAUAAUGGUCUCUUUUUUCUUUUUUUCUUUUUUUAUAAGCCCUAACGGUCUUGUUUUGAUUUGGUUCAGAAUUUGGGAACCUACUAUCUUUUUAUAGUUAAAAAAGAGUAUAAAACUAAGUCACUUUAUGAGCCUUGACAGUAGAUAUUAACAUUUGUUGGAAAAAACAUAUGAGUCUUGAUAGUAUUAUGCUUCUUUUAAAUUAAAAAAAAAAAGGGAAAAACAAUGGCACAAAGUUGGGCACACUUUUGUUCUUAGUUUUACACAAAUGAAUUAUUAGAUUUUUAAACUUAUGUUGUAAAAAAAAAAAGGACAACUAAACAAAAAAAAAAAAAA
Molecule: long non-coding RNA, 24587 nt
Filed under: Coffea arabica (coffee)
Lineage: Eukaryota; Viridiplantae; Streptophyta; Magnoliopsida; Gentianales; Rubiaceae
Description: long non-coding RNA (CARA_LNC001391)
Source: RNAcentral